Molecule: ribosomal RNA, 455 nt
Filed under: uncultured microorganism
Description: bacterial SSU rRNA
Rfam family: Bacterial small subunit ribosomal RNA
Source: RNAcentral
GCGCACCAGUCGCGAAUAGUCUACAAUGGACGAAAGUCUGAUAGUGCGACGCCGUGUGUGCGAUUAAUUCCUUCGGGAUGUAAAGCACUUUCUAUGAGAUAAAGCUCUUUAGGUUAAUAGCUUAUUGAGACGGAUAUUAUUAUAGGAAUAAGCUCCGGCUAACUCCGUGCCAGCAGCCGCGGUAAUACGGAAGGAGCGAGCGUUGUCCGGAUUUACUAGGCGUAAAGGGCUAGUAGGCGACUAAUUAAGUUAUAUGUUAAAUCCCGCGGCUCAACUGUGGUCCUGCAUGUAAUACUGGUUAGAUAGAGUACUGUAGAGGAAGGCAGAAUUCCUGGAGUAGCGGUGGAAUGCGCAGAUAUCAGGAAGAAUACCAAAAGCGAAGGCAGCCUUCUGGGCAGUUACUGACGCUGAAUAGCGAAGGUGUGGGUAGCGAACAGGAUUAGAUACCCGCGUAG